This 496-nucleotide ribosomal RNA is filed under the name uncultured bacterium. RNAcentral describes it as "partial 16S ribosomal RNA". It matches the Rfam family "Bacterial small subunit ribosomal RNA", at positions 29 to 507 of the family's 1533-position model. The record is from RNAcentral.
AUGAACGCUGGCGGCGUGCCUAAUACAUGCAAGUCGAGCGAACAGACGAGGAGCUUGCUCCUCUGACGUUAGCGGCGGACGGGUGAGUAACACGUGGAUAACCUACCUAUAAGACUGGGAUAACUUCGGGAAACCGGAGCUAAUACCGGAUAAUAUAUUGAACCGCAUGGUUCAAUAGUGAAAGACGGUUUUGCUGUCACUUAUAGAUGGAUCCGCGCCGCAUUAGCUAGUUUGUAAGGUAACGGCUUACCAAGGCAACGAUGCGUAGCCGACCUGAGAGGGUGAUCGGCCACACUGGAACUGAGACACGGUCCAGACUCCUACGGGAGGCAGCAGUAGGGAAUCUUCCGCAAUGGGCGAAAGCCUGACGGAGCAACGCCGCGUGAGUGAUGAAGGUCUUCGGAUCGUAAAACUCUGUUAUUAGGGAAGAACAAAUGUGUAAGUAACUAUGCACGUCUUGACGGUACCUAAUCAGAAAGCCACGGCUAACUACGUG